AAGUCGUAACAAGGUUUCCGUAGGUGAACCUGCGGAAGGAUCAUUAAUAAAAUACUAAACACUGUUCUUUUUAAAAAAUAUUUAACAAAUCUAAAAACAAAUCAAAA
Molecule: unclassified non-coding RNA, 107 nt
Filed under: plant metagenome
Description: partial contains small subunit ribosomal RNA and internal transcribed spacer 1
Rfam family: Eukaryotic small subunit ribosomal RNA (bases 1-46)
Source: RNAcentral